GAUGAACGCUGGCGGCGUGCCUAAUACAUGCAAGUCGAGCGAACGGAUGAGAAGCUUGCUCCUCUGAUGUUAGCGGCGGACGGGUGAGUAACACGUGGAUAACCUACCUAUAAGACUGGGAUAACUUCGGGAAACCGGAGCUAAUACCGGAUAAUAUUUUGAACCGCAUGGUUCAAAAGUGAAAGACGGUUUUGCUGUCACUUAUAGAUGGAUCCGCGCCGCAUUAGCUAGUUGGUAAGGUAACGGCUUACCAAGGCAACGAUGCAUAGCCGACCUGAGAGGGUGAUCGGCCACACUGGAACUGAGACACGGUCCAGACUCCUACGGGAGGCAGCAGUAGGGAAUCUUCCGCAAUGGGCGAAAGCCUGACGGAGCAACGCCGCGUGAGUGAUGAAGGUCUUCGGAUCGUAAAACUCUGUUAUUAGGGAAGAACAUAUGUGUAAGUAACUGUGCACAUCUUGACGGUACCUAAUCAGAAAGCCACGGCUAACUACGUG
This 497-nucleotide ribosomal RNA is filed under the name uncultured bacterium. RNAcentral's name for it is "partial 16S ribosomal RNA". It matches the Rfam family "Bacterial small subunit ribosomal RNA", at positions 28 to 507 of the family's 1533-position model. The record is from RNAcentral.